Molecule: ribosomal RNA, 406 nt
Filed under: uncultured bacterium
Lineage: Bacteria
Description: partial 16S ribosomal RNA
Rfam family: Bacterial small subunit ribosomal RNA
Source: RNAcentral
AUUGAACGCUGGCGGCAGGCCUAACACAUGCAAGUCGAACGAGUGGCGGACGGGUGAGGAAUGUCUGGGAAACUGCCCGAUGGAGGGGGAUAACUACUGGAAACGGUAGCUAAUACCGCAUACCAUCGGAUGUGCACAGAUGGGAUUAGCUUGUAGGUGAGGUAACGGCUAACCUAGGCGACGAUCCCUAGCUGGUCUGAGAGGAUGACCAGCAAAACUGGAACUGAGACACGGGCCAGACUACUACGGAGUGCAGAAGUGGGGAAUAUUGCACAAUGGUCGCAAGCCUGAUGCAGCCAUGCCGCGUGUAGGAAGAAGGCCUUCGGGUUGUAAAGUACUUUCAGCGGGGAGGCGUUACCCGAAGAGGAAGCACCGGCUAACUCCGUGCCAGCAGCCGCGGUAAUUC